This 429-nucleotide ribosomal RNA is filed under the name Actinomycetes bacterium. RNAcentral's name for it is "Actinobacteria bacterium partial 16S ribosomal RNA". It matches the Rfam family "Bacterial small subunit ribosomal RNA", at positions 355 to 776 of the family's 1533-position model. The record is from RNAcentral. Lineage: Bacteria; Bacillati; Actinomycetota; Actinomycetes.
UAGGGAAUCUUCCGCAAUGGGCGAAAGCCUGACGGAGCAACGCCGCGUGAGUGAUGAAGGUCUUCGGAUCGUAAAACUCUGUUAUUAGGGAAGAACAAAUGUGUAAGUAACUAUGCACGUCUUGACGGUACCUAAUCAGAAAGCCACGGCUAACUACGUGCCAGCAGCCGCGGUAAUACGUAGGUGGCAAGCGUUAUCCGGAAUUAUUGGGCGUAAAGCGCGCGUAGGAGGUUUUUUAAGUCUGAUGUGAAAGCCCACGGCUCAACCGUGGAGGGUCAUUGGAAACUGGAAAACUUGAGUGCAGAAGAGGAAAGUGGAAUUCCAUGUGUAGCGGUGAAAUGCGCAGAGAUAUGGAGGAACACCAGUGGCGAAGGCGACUUUCUGGUCUGUAACUGACGCUGAUGUGCGAAAGCGUGGGGAUCAAACAGG